This is a long non-coding RNA of Pseudophryne corroboree (corroboree frog), 1174 nucleotides long. RefSeq lists it as uncharacterized. The record is from RefSeq and is a predicted model, not a curated record. NCBI's taxonomy places the organism in Eukaryota, Metazoa, Chordata, Amphibia, Anura, Myobatrachidae. The transcript has 5 exons.
GCAGGUCGACUCAACUCCGGAGAGAUAUUAGCCAGACGACUUGGAAGAGAGUAACAAUUCCAAUACUUUUAUGACACAACUAACUACAAUGAGGACUGAUCUUGUUUAUCCAUAAAUCAAUGACAGACAAACCAGGAACCGAAAUUAUUUAUUAUACUGGAAAAUCACGUUCAGUGAAUCCUGUAUGAGAUCAAUCUUCGGCUCUGUUAAAAGAAUGCCGUACGGAUAUUCCCAAAUCCUACUGUCAAUACCCCUAAAGUUCAGCUGACUAUUCGUACGUUGGUGCACAAUUAGGAAUAGAAAACCCGGUCGACUCAACUCCGGAGAGAUAUUAGCCAGACGACUUGGAAGAGAGUAACAAUUCCAAUACUUUUAUGACACAACUAACUACAAUGAGGACUGAUCUUGUUUAUCCAUAAAUCAAUGACAGACAAACCAGGAACCGAAAUUAUUUAUUAUACUGGAAAAUCACGUUCAGUGAAUCCUGUAUGAGAUCAAUCUUCGGCUCUGUUAAAAGAAUGCCGUACGGAUAUUCCCAAAUCCUACUGUCAAUACCCCUAAAGUUCAGCUGACUAUUCGUACGUUGGUGCACAAUUAGGAAUAGAAAACCCGAAGUCUGUGCUGCUUUGCUGAAGAACUGAUCAGUAAAUCACCAGCUGCAAAGGCUAUUUGUAAGUCCUUACUUGUCUUAUCUGGAUAUAUAACACAUUUUUUAAAAAAUAGUUUGUCAGUUCAAGGUGUUGUUUUUCAUUUCUGACCAAAUUCCUCCUUCUGUUUUAAUGACACAGAUUUGUUUUUCCGCUGUGAGUUUUAAGCAGCCUUGAAACACUAGAUAUACUGAAUUCAUAGAAUUAUCAAAAUCACAAACAAGCAUUGAUACGUGCUGUUUAUCUAUCUCCCAUUUUUUUAAACCACAAAAUGAAAAACUAACAUGGUUUUUAAUUAAAUUACUUAAUCUCAAUUUAGCAAGGCCCUCCCCAUCCUUUAUUCUCACAUUUGUAACUUUUCACAAUCUUGUUAGUCAUUAGUCUUUUCUUCAUACAGUAUAUGCUCUGUAUUCUGUGGUGUCUGGUGUUUUGGAGUAUUGUGGUGCUCUACAAAUAAAGAUCACAGUUAUAUUGCACAAAAUAUCUUCAGCUCAAACAUGACCCAAAAUACCUUUUAAGAGCAGCAA